This is a non-coding RNA of Prunus avium (sweet cherry), 1302 nucleotides long. NCBI's taxonomy places the organism in Eukaryota, Viridiplantae, Streptophyta, Magnoliopsida, Rosales, Rosaceae. The record is from RefSeq and is a predicted model, not a curated record.
UAUGUCUCACGUUGAUGCCCGUGUAAUUGUCCUCUUGAAAUUGCUGCUUCAGUAUUUUAUUUGGAGAUCGUCAUAUGUCAUAAGCACUUUCAGACACAGAAAUCAUAUGGUCCUUCAUAACCAUCACUUUCGUAUAUAAUCACCCUAUAUAGUUAGCCUAUUACCCGCAGCACUCAAGUCUCUAGUUGUCUUCUAAUUGAGUGUGAUAAAAUAUUUAUGCUCUUACAAGAAACCACAUCAUAAAUGCCAUAUUGAGUUAUAAGGCGUAUUCAUGUUGGAGUAGCACGCAUGCAGCUAGUAAUUUUCAAACUUUUUCUUGAUGGCUCAUAAAGUUAUUAUAGUUAUUUCAAGCUCUGUAUAGAAUGUAAACUUAACAUAAGAUUUUCGACAUAUAUCUAUACAGUUGAUCACUUUCUGUGUUCCUAUGUUUUAUUGCUUCAAGUCAUUAUCCCAAUUUGUCGAUGUAUACUUUUAGGCAGCCUUGCGGCUCCAUGAGUAUUGUUACUGACAUUUUGUUUAAAUAGCUCAAGUACUGGUAUUAAGAGGAUUUAAACCCUUGGUUGUUCCCAGCUCAAGACUAAGUUGCUUAGUUUGGUAAAACCUCUAAUGUUGGAUGAAUACAGGGAAUACCGGGAGCAUGUGAAGGAUCUCUCUGGCCUAGCGAAGGAUAUGAGCCGAAUUGUUAUUGUCGACAACAACCCUUUCAGUUUUUUGUUGCAACCUUUGAAUGGAAUUCCAUGCAUUCCAUUUUCUGCUGGGCAAACACACGACACACAGCUUUUGGAUGUUCUUCUUCCACUCCUCAAGCACCUCUCACUGCAGAAAGAUGUAAGGCCUGUGCUUUAUGAAAGGUUUCACAUGCUUGAAUGGUUUCAAAAGCAGGGGAUUCCUUCAACAAGUUGGAAAUAGUAGGAUUUUCAAUAAUUAUAUGCAAUGGAAUUCCCAUUCUUCUUUCGUGCAAAUCCUCAACCGUUGCUUAGUUCAAGCCUCAAGGGAGUGUCUGUACAGCUUCAGUGUGUGCACUGCAAUUUGUUGAUACAAGGCUGUGUUUUGACCAGAGUUCCAAGUGCUUCAUCUCACUAUCAUACGAAAACCAUUUAUGUAUCUAGAUUUGUUUACUAUGAUUUUUGUGUAACUUUGUCUAUAUUGUUUGCUGUUCUCUUCAAUCCCUUAUGUAAUUUGUUAGGAUUUUUUGAAAUUGUUGCCAAUAAUUAUUAGCAGUUUAUACGUUUCUCAUCGUGCUUGUGUUUUAUAUGCUGCUGAUAUGAAAUCAAAAGAGUCAGAACUCAACGGAAUGCCAUC